Molecule: ribosomal RNA, 424 nt
Filed under: uncultured bacterium
Lineage: Bacteria
Description: bacterial SSU rRNA
Rfam family: Bacterial small subunit ribosomal RNA
Source: RNAcentral
UGGGGAAUCUUGGACAAUGGGGGCAACCCUGAUCCAGCGAUGCCGCGUGGGUGAUGAAGGCCUUCGGGUUGUAAAGCCCUUUCGCCGGGGACGAUAGUGACGGUACCCGGAGAAGAAGCCUCGGCUAACUCCGUGCCAGCAGCCGCGGUAAGACGGAGGAGGCUAGCGUUGUUCGGAAUUACUGGGCGUAAAGCGCGCGCGGGCGGUCUCGCAAGUCAGGGGUGAAAGCCCGAGGCUCAACCUCGGAACGGCCUUUGCGACUGCGGGACUGGAGACCGGGAGAGGAGAGUGGAAUUCCCAGUGUAGAGGUGAAAUUCGUAGAUAUUGGGAAGAACACCAGUGGCGAAGGCGGCUCUCUGGCCCGGACCUGACGCUGAGGCGCGAAAGCGUGGGGAGCAAACAGGAUUAGAUACCCCGGUAGUCC